This 468-nucleotide ribosomal RNA is filed under the name uncultured bacterium. RNAcentral describes it as "partial 16S ribosomal RNA". It matches the Rfam family "Bacterial small subunit ribosomal RNA", at positions 28 to 507 of the family's 1533-position model. The record is from RNAcentral.
GACGAACGCUGGCGGCGUGCUUAACACAUGCCAGUCGAACGGAAAGGCCCUGCUUUUGUGGGGUGCUCGAGUGGCGAACGGGUGAGUAACACGUGAGUAACCUGCCCUUGACUUUGGGAUAACUUCAGGAAACUGGGGCUAAUACCGGAUAGGAGCUCCUGCUGCAUGGUGGGGGUUGGAAAGUUUCGGCGGUUGGGGAUGGACUCGCGGCUUAUCAGCUUGUUGGUGGGGUAGUGGCUUACCAAGGCUUUGACGGGUAGCCGGCCUGAGAGGGUGACCGGCCACAUUGGGACUGAGAUACGGCCCAGAGUCCUACGGGAGGCAGCAGUGGGGAAUAUUGCACAAUGGGCGGAAGCCUGAUGCAGCAACGCCGCGUGCGGGAUGACGGCCUUCGGGUUGUAAACCGCUUUCGCCUGUGACGAAGCGUGAGUGACGGUAAUGGGUAAAGAAGCACCGGCUAACUACGUG